Molecule: regulatory RNA element, 59 nt
Organism: Eggerthella lenta DSM 2243
Lineage: Bacteria; Bacillati; Actinomycetota; Coriobacteriia; Eggerthellales; Eggerthellaceae
Rfam family: Selenocysteine insertion sequence 3
Source: Rfam
GUUUGACACAGCCCCACGGUUGCCGGUCUGGCAGCAACAUUCGGUCGCGGUUCGAUGAC